CAGUCGCCACGGGAAUACGUAGGGUGCGAGCGUUAAUCGGAAUUACUGGGCGUAAAGCGUGCGCAGGCGGUUUUGUAAGACAGAGGUGAAAUCCCCGGGCUCAACCUGGGAACUGCCUUUGUGACUGCAAGGCUAGAGUACGGCAGAGGGGGAUGGAAUUCCGCGUGUAGCAGUGAAAUGCGUAGAUAUGCGGAGGAACACCGAUGGCGAAGGCAAUCCCCUGGGCCUGUACUGACGCUCAUGCACGAAAGCGUGGGGAGCAAACAGGAUUAGAUACCCCUGUAGUCCCUGUCUCUUAUAC
Molecule: ribosomal RNA, 301 nt
Filed under: uncultured bacterium
Lineage: Bacteria
Description: partial 16S ribosomal RNA
Rfam family: Bacterial small subunit ribosomal RNA
Source: RNAcentral